This 377-nucleotide ribosomal RNA is filed under the name uncultured Alphaproteobacteria bacterium. Its description in RNAcentral is "bacterial SSU rRNA". It matches the Rfam family "Bacterial small subunit ribosomal RNA", at positions 1 to 412 of the family's 1533-position model. The record is from RNAcentral. Lineage: Bacteria; Pseudomonadati; Pseudomonadota; Alphaproteobacteria.
UGACGAGUUUGAUCCUGGCUCAGAAUGAACGCUGGCGGCAGGCCUAACACAUGCAAGUCGAACGGGUCCUUCGGGACUAGUGGCGGACGGGUGAGUAACGCGUGGGAACGUGCCCUUUGGUUCGGAAUAGCCCCGGGAAACUGGGAGUAAUACCGGAUAAGCCCUUCGGGGGAAAGAUUUAUCGCCAAAGGAGCGGCCCGCGUCUGAUUAGCUAGUUGGUGAGGUAAUGGCUCACCAAGGCGACGACGGGUAGCCGGCCUGAGAGGGCGACCGGCCACACUGGGACUGAGACACGGCCCAGACUCCUACGGGAGCAGCAGUGGGAAUAUGGGCAAUGGAGGAAACUCUGACCCAGCGACGCCGCGUGCGGGGAUGAA